UAAGAGGGCCCCCCUCCUGAGCUGCUAGGGCUGUGGGGGAAGCAUGCACGCAUGGAAACAGGCACACAACUGAAGAGGGGCUUGGAUAUCAUGCUGAAAAUGACAGCUCCUUCCACAUCUUCUUACAGCGGGAAGGUUACUCUUUGUGACAGAAGUCUAACUUGCCUCUUUGAAUGUAUUAAAGUCCUAUUUCUGGCUUUCUGGAUGAACACAAAAGGCAGCUUACACAGUGCUGCUUCACCUUGACAGUAUGUUUUUAGACACCUAGCAGACAGACUUAGGGUAGUUUUCCCUCUCUUUCCUUUUGAUUAAAUGUAAACAGCACUUUUCACACAUCAUCUCCAAACUGAGCUAUGCAGGGUGUUGGGGCUAAAAGAACUGGGUCUCAGAGGCUUUUAACUUUGCAGGCUCAGUUUCCCUACAUGCAUAGUAGGAAAAUAAUAACAAUAAUAGUAAUAGUAAUAUAUCUUUUUCAGGGGGUGUGGUAGGUAGAAUAAUUGCUCAGUCAAAAAUAUGUCCUAAUUCCUAGAAACCUCUGAAUUUGUUACCUUUUAUAGCAAAAGGGACUUUGCAGAUGUGCCUGAAUUAAGCAUCAAGUAUCUUGCGAGAAGAAGGCUAUUCUGAACUCUACAGAUGGGUUGGUGUAACCACAGAGCCUUUUGGUAAGGAAGGCACGAGGGUAGGGGUCAGGAAGAGACUGGCAGACGCUAUGCUGCUGGCUCCUAGCACAGAAACAGGCCAGGAGCCUUGAAACACAGGCAGCUUCUAGGAGCUGGGGAAGGCAAGAUAACCAACACUGCCCCGGAAGUCCUUGAAGAACACAAUCCUGCUGGCACCUCCCUUUGAGCUGGGACCAUUAUUCUUUGCAGUUAUAAGACGGCAAUGGAGAUUACAGAAUGGGUAUCUUAGUCCAGAGAGGACAGCUGAGGACAGUCAAAAGGCGACUUCCCCACCACGUGGCCAGAAGUGUCAGCUGGCUUGGAAGGACUGAGUGGAGUGCAGCCCCAUGAUAUUCAAGCCCAGAAAUAUUAACUUUUCUCUAUUUCUUGUCUCUCUAGUUUUUUUUUAAAAAGCAUAGCCUGUUUAGAUGAGCAGAGAGAAACUAGGGGAAAAACAUCUCCUACCCUGUUCUCAGCCUUAUCUAACAUUUUGCUUUGUUUUUUGGUAGGAAUAUCAUCUGUCAUGCAGAAUGAGGCCCCGGACACUGUGUAUCAAGCAGCUUUGUUACAUAAUGUUCUCAAUAGCUACUGUUUUACCGAAAGUUUUGAUGACUGUCAAACAGUCAUAAUGGUUAUUAAAUGAAUAACUAUAAAUGUAUGCAAAACCAAGUUCACGGACUUUAUUUUAAAACUUCAUUGAAAUUAUUAACUGCUUACAGUUCUGUUUCUUAAGUUAGAAUAAUUUGGUUUGCAUCUGGACCUGCCCUUAUUUGCAUGAUUGCCUUAGAUCUCUCCCAGGAACUGGCCUUCGGGGAAUUAAACAAACGAGCUCAUAUAAUAUGUAUUUCCUUCCCUUUUCCUUCCUUCCCUUAUAAUAACACAUUCUCUAUGAUUUCCAUUGAAUUAAAUGGUUUUUCAUUGCU
Cavia porcellus (domestic guinea pig) is the source of this 1582-nucleotide long non-coding RNA. RefSeq lists it as uncharacterized. NCBI's taxonomy places the organism in Eukaryota, Metazoa, Chordata, Mammalia, Rodentia, Caviidae. The record is from RefSeq and is a predicted model, not a curated record. The transcript is spliced from 3 exons.